GGACACCGAGCCUCUGUAAAGCUCCUUCGACGAGUCGAGUAGUUUGGGAAUGCUGCUCUAAAUGGGAGGUAUAUGUCUUCUAAAGCUAAAUACCGGCCAGAGACCGAUAGCGCACAAGUAGAGUGAUCGAAAGAUGAAAAGCACUUUGAAAAGAGAGUUAAAAAGUACGUGAAAUUGUUGAAAGGGAAGCGCUUAUGACCAGACUUGGGCUUGGUUGAUCAUCCUGGGUUCUCCCUGGUGCACUCUUCCAGUUCAGGCCAGCAUCAGUUCGCUGCGGGGGAUAAAAGUUUUGGGAAUGUGGCUCCUUCGGGAGUGUUAUAGCCCAUUUCAUAAUACCCUGCUCCGGACUGAGGUUCGCGCAUCUGCAAGGAUGCUGGCGUAAUGGUCAUCAGCGACCCGUCUUGAAACACGGACCAAGGAGUCGUCUUCGUAUGCGAGUGUUCGGGUGUUAAACCCCUACGCGUAAUGAAAGUGAACGCAGGUGAGAGCUUCGGCGCAUCAUCGACCGAUCCUGAUGUUCUCGGAUGGAUUUGAGUAAGAGCAUACGGGGCCGGACCCGAAAGAAGGUGAACUAUGCCUGUAUAGGGUGAAGCCAGAAGGUAUCUGGUGGAGGCUCGCAGCGGUUCUGACGUGCAAAUCGAUCGUCAAAUAUGGGCAUGGGGCGAAAGACUAAUCGAC
Molecule: ribosomal RNA, 678 nt
Filed under: Calonectria seminaria
Lineage: Eukaryota; Fungi; Ascomycota; Sordariomycetes; Hypocreales; Nectriaceae
Description: LSU rRNA
Rfam family: Eukaryotic large subunit ribosomal RNA
Source: RNAcentral